UGAACCUGCGGAAGGAUCAUUACCGAGUGCGGGUCCUUUGGGCCCAACCUCCCAUCCGU
RNAcentral lists this ribosomal RNA (59 nucleotides) under Aspergillus niger. Its description in RNAcentral is "partial 18S ribosomal RNA". The record is from RNAcentral. Lineage: Eukaryota; Fungi; Ascomycota; Eurotiomycetes; Eurotiales; Aspergillaceae.